Molecule: ribosomal RNA, 38 nt
Filed under: Amanita flavipes
Lineage: Eukaryota; Fungi; Basidiomycota; Agaricomycetes; Agaricales; Amanitaceae
Description: partial 18S ribosomal RNA
Source: RNAcentral
GGGGGUUUCCGGUAGGGUGAACCUGCGGAAGGAUAUUA